RNAcentral lists this transfer RNA (68 nucleotides) under Marmota monax (woodchuck). Its description in RNAcentral is "tRNA.Ala". Lineage: Eukaryota; Metazoa; Chordata; Mammalia; Rodentia; Sciuridae. The record is from RNAcentral.
GGACUGGGGCUCAGUGGUAGAGCGCUUGCCUAGCAGGCGUGAGGCACUGGGUUUGAUUCUCAGCACCA